RNAcentral lists this long non-coding RNA (358 nucleotides) under Malus domestica (apple). RNAcentral's name for it is "long non-coding RNA (MDOM_LNC017197)". The record is from RNAcentral. Lineage: Eukaryota; Viridiplantae; Streptophyta; Magnoliopsida; Rosales; Rosaceae.
UCUUCUCGCAUGAUGGUAGAGCUUAUUGCUACUUUAGAUACCGUCAAACAUGUGAAUAAGUCAUCCGCUGCUUCUAGGGAGGUGAUGUCGGGUACUUCUUCAAGUCCUUGAAUGUGCAUUGGCGAGCCUCAUCCCAAAGUGCAUACUUCUCUACCAAAGCAAAAGAGUCUGCCAGAGUUAGAUCUUCUUUCAUGAUCAAUUUUCCGAAUAGCGGGUGGUCUGCUGGAAGUCCUUUUUGGAAGGCUGCUCUAGCUAUCGAGUCGUUGCAUCCGACUAUUUUUACCUUCUCUACUUUGAACCUCCUCACAUAGUCGCGAAGUGACUCAUUUGGGUUCUUCUUGACGUUGAACAAAUGAUC